CUAGCUUGCUAGUUGCUGACGAGUGGCGGACGGGUGAGUAAUACUUAGGGAUCUGCCUCUGUGUGGGGGAUAACUAUUGGAAACGAUAGCUAAUACCGCAUAACGUCUACGGACCAAAGAGGGCUUCGGCUCUCGCGCAGAGAGGAACCUAAGCGAGAUUAGCUUGUUGGUGAGGUAAAGGCUCACCAAGGCGACGAUCUCUAGCUGUUCUGAGAGGAAGAUCAGCCACACUGGAACUGAGACACGGUCCAGACUCCUACGGGAGGCAGCAGUGGGGAAUAUUGCACAAUGGGGGCAACCCUGAUGCAGCCAUGCCGCGUGUGUGAAGAAGGCCUUCGGGUUGUAAAGCACUUUCAGUUGUGAGGAAAGGUUAGUAGUUAAUACCUGCUAGCUGUGACGUUAACAACAGAAGAAGCACCGGCUAACUCCGUGCCAGCAGCCGCGGUAAUACGGAGGGUGCGAGCGUUAAUCGGAAUUACUGGGCGUAAAGCGCACGCAGGCGGUCUGUUAAGCUAGAUGUGAAAGCCCCGCGCUC
This 535-nucleotide ribosomal RNA is filed under the name uncultured Aestuariibacter sp. Its description in RNAcentral is "bacterial SSU rRNA". It matches the Rfam family "Bacterial small subunit ribosomal RNA", at positions 75 to 610 of the family's 1533-position model. The record is from RNAcentral. Lineage: Bacteria; Pseudomonadati; Pseudomonadota; Gammaproteobacteria; Alteromonadales; Alteromonadaceae.